GCUAGAGUCGGAGUCGUAACGCUCCACUGACUGAUAGAGCGACCGGCCGACCAUGGCGCCCGGAGUGGCCCGCGGGCCGACGCCGUACUGGAGGUUGCGCCUCGGUGGCGCCGCGCUGCUCCUGCUGCUCAUCCCGGUGGCCGCCGCGCAGGAGCCUCCCGGAGCUGCGGGAUUCCUGAACACUCAUUCCACAUGUCUUGAAGAAGGCUUGUUAUCAGCAGGGGCUCAGGAAGAGGACCUUCAUUUGCUUGUUCUCAGAACACAAACAAAACCUGUGAAGAGUGCCUGAAGAACGUCUCCUGUCUUUGGUGCAACGCUAACAAGGCUUGUCUGGACUACCCCGUUACAAGCGUCUUGCCACCGGCUUCCCUUUGUAAAUUGAGCUCUGCACGCUGGGG
RNAcentral lists this small RNA (398 nucleotides) under Pan troglodytes (chimpanzee). RNAcentral's name for it is "processed transcript". The record is from RNAcentral. Lineage: Eukaryota; Metazoa; Chordata; Mammalia; Primates; Hominidae.